Thalassophryne amazonica is the source of this 105-nucleotide long non-coding RNA. RefSeq lists it as uncharacterized. The record is from RefSeq and is a predicted model, not a curated record. Lineage: Eukaryota; Metazoa; Chordata; Actinopteri; Batrachoidiformes; Batrachoididae. The transcript has 3 exons.
UGAAAAUUGGGCUCUUUCUAUUGUUUUGUAAUAAAUGUAGUUGGAAAAAGACACUUAUUUGCCAGGAACAAAAUCGUGUUACACAGUGUUAGGGGAAAUAAUUUA